Molecule: ribosomal RNA, 455 nt
Filed under: uncultured bacterium
Lineage: Bacteria
Description: bacterial SSU rRNA
Rfam family: Bacterial small subunit ribosomal RNA
Source: RNAcentral
GCACAAGCGGUGGAGCAUGUGGUUCAAUUCGACGCAACGCGAAGAACCUUACCCAGGCUUGAACAGCGAGUGACACACUCCGAAAGGAGUCUUCCGCAAGGACACUCGUAGAGGUGCUGCAUGGCUGUCGUCAGCUCGUGUCGUGAGAUGUUGGGUUAAGUCCCGCAACGAGCGCAGCCCUUGUCUUCUGUUGCCAUCACGUUAUGGUGGGCACUCUGAAGAGACUGCCGGUGAUAAACCGGAGGAAGGUGGGGAUGACGUCAAGUCAGCAUGGCCUUUAUGUCUGGGGCUACACACGUGCUACAAUGGCCGGUACAAACCGUCGCGAUACCGUAAGGUGGAGCUAAUCGGAGAAAGCCGGUCUCAGUUCGGAUUGCAGGCUGCAACUCGCCUGCAUGAAGUUGGAAUCGCUAGUAAUCGCGGAUCAGCACGCCGCGGUGAAUACGUUCCCGGGC